CACGUAGGGUGCGAGCGUUGUCCGGAAUUAUUGGGCGUAAAGAGCUCGUAGGCGGUUUGUCGCGUCUGCUGUGAAAACUGGAGGCUCAACCUCCAGCCUGCAGUGGGUACGGGCAGACUAGAGUGCGGUAGGGGAGAUUGGAAUUCCUGGUGUAGCGGUGGAAUGCGCAGAUAUCAGGAGGAACACCGAUGGCGAAGGCAGAUCUCUGGGCCGUAACUGACGCUGAGGAGCGAAAGCAUGGGGAGCGAACAGG
RNAcentral lists this ribosomal RNA (253 nucleotides) under uncultured bacterium. RNAcentral's name for it is "partial 16S ribosomal RNA". It matches the Rfam family "Bacterial small subunit ribosomal RNA", at positions 524 to 776 of the family's 1533-position model. The record is from RNAcentral.